Molecule: ribosomal RNA, 378 nt
Filed under: uncultured eukaryote
Lineage: Eukaryota
Description: partial 18S ribosomal RNA
Rfam family: Eukaryotic small subunit ribosomal RNA
Source: RNAcentral
CAAUAGCGUAUAUUAAAGUUGCUGCAGUUAAAAAGCUCGUAGUUGGAUUUCGGGAUGGCCCGGCCGGUCUGCCGCAAGGUAUGUUACUGGCCGAGCUGUUCUUCUUCGCAAAGACUGUGUGUGCUCUUAACUGAGUGUGCUCAGGAUCUGUGACGUUUACUUUGAAAAAAUUAGAGUGUUCAAAGCAAGCCAGCGCUUGAAUACAUAAGCAUGGAAUAAUGGAAUAGGACUUUGGUUCUAUUUUGUUGGUUUCUGGAACCUUAGUAAUGAUUAAGAGAGACAGUUGGGGGCAUUCGUAUUUCGUUGUCAGAGGUGAAAUUCUUGGAUUUACGAAAGACGAACUACUGCGAAAGCAUUUGCCAAGAAUGUUUUCAUUAA